UACGUAGGGGGCAAGCGUUGUCCGGAAUCAUUGGGCGUAAAGCGCGUGUAGGCAGCUCGGCAAGUCGGGUGUGAAAGCCCUGGGCUCAACCUAGGAAGUGCACUCGAAACUUCCGAGCUGGAGUACUGGAGAGGAGACUGGAAUUUACGGUGUAGCGGUGAAAUGCGUAGAUAUCGUAAGGAAGACCAGUGGCGAAGGCGGGUCUCUGGACAGUUCCUGACGCUGAGGCACGAAGGCCAGGGGAGCAAACGGG
RNAcentral lists this ribosomal RNA (253 nucleotides) under uncultured bacterium. Its description in RNAcentral is "partial 16S ribosomal RNA". It matches the Rfam family "Bacterial small subunit ribosomal RNA", at positions 524 to 776 of the family's 1533-position model. The record is from RNAcentral.